GUACUGAGUGGCGGGGCGGGGGAAGCCCUUCCACCGGCUGCCCGUCCUGGCCGGGGGGUCGGUCAGAUGAUGGAGGACGGCCGGGUCCGGUCCCCACGCUAAAUAUUUUCAAGGGAUGGGACCCGAGAUUCGAACCAGACUGGAAAGCCGAAGUGUUUCCACGCGGUUAAUCCGGCCGACGGUAAUGGACCAUUCGUAUCUAGAUAGAAUGCGUUGUUAAGGCUUCUUUGGUGGUUAAUGGUAGUGUAAGGUAUAAGUCGGCUAGCAAAAAUUACUACCUGUAUCGUUCCAUAUCUGGAUACAACUCGGAUACGCCUAUCGAUAUAUAUCGAUGGAUACGUCGUAUAGGUAGAUCAGGUGGUUAAUCGAACAAUGGUACGGUAACAUGUUUUUGUUAACAGGCCACAUAACUUUCCAUUCUGUAAGAAUUCUAAGUGACGGGCGAAAUCGGCCCUUUCACCGGUCGCCCACUCCAUAUUUAUGGCGGAAACGGAGGGAUGGGCCGGAACAAAAAAUAAAUAAAAAAAUAAAAAUAAAUAAAAUAAAUAAAUAUUUCCAAAGGGACACGAGACUCGAAUCCACGUCUUCCAGAGUGGAAAAUCCAAGCGUUUCCAGACUUCCGAUCCGGCCUUGUACCUAGAUAGGUUGUCGGUAGAAUAAAUACCAUCAAAUAUGUUUUUGUUACUUUAAGGAGGAGUGAUGGCGCGGGACAUAAAGAUCCCCCUAAAAAAUAUCAGUAGGACCUUUUAAAAAGUUUACUGAAUAUCGGAUUUAUUUAUUAUUCUUAACCAGAAUAUAAGGCGCGUAACCAACGAUAGGGAGAAAAACGUUAUGGGGAAUGUUACUUCGGUAAUUGAUUCUGGUCAAGGACGUAUGGAAAAAUAAUAGGUGGAAAAUGUGGUAGGCGAUGUUAAAAGUGUUUUUGUCGAUCUUUAAAACUUUAUACCGAAAAUCAGGGUUUAUCACAUCUUGGAUCAACGUUUAAGAAAUAGGAAGACCACCAGCCCGCCUCCACCAAUUCCAUACUUCGGUGCGCCGGCAAUUAACCUUUGGCCCAAAGAAAUCAGAAAAAUCUAUUAGUCGAGGUUUUUUCGAGGCACAUAAUUUUGGCCCACCACGGCCACCGGCUAUCAACAUUUAAUCGGUAAUGGCUAAAUCGGAGGGAGUUUGGUUGUAGUAGGCGAUAAACGAAGGAGAUUUCGCUUCCGUAUUUUUUCGGUCGACUAUGGCCACACCGGAAUGGGCGUAGAGGAGGGAAACGGUCGAUGGGUGACAUCCCACUAUCCGGCCGUUAACGUGGCUAAAUGGAUCACCAUCGACUCCCGAGCCUGGGCCGGUUAAGAUAAGUCGACGGUUAGCCAGGCGCUAACCAGGUUUGGGGCCGGCUCCGGUUGGGCUGAAUGGGACGAGUUUGAACGGUGACCGCUGCCGGCGGCGUUUUUAAAUGGACGAGUUGUAGAGGGAUGGCAAAGUGCAGAGAAGGAAACGGUGAAUGUUUGAUCGACGGGGAUAUAAGGGAGAAGCCAGAAACCCGCCCAUAAAAUCUCCAACCGGCAGAUUUAUUAGCCACAUUUAUC
Molecule: long non-coding RNA, 1577 nt
Filed under: Androctonus crassicauda
Lineage: Eukaryota; Metazoa; Arthropoda; Arachnida; Scorpiones; Buthidae
Source: RNAcentral